ACCCACUGCAUCACAAGCUGACUCUCUGU
RNAcentral lists this non-coding RNA (29 nucleotides) under Homo sapiens (human). Lineage: Eukaryota; Metazoa; Chordata; Mammalia; Primates; Hominidae. The record is from RNAcentral.